AAAGUCGUAACAAGGUUUCCGUAGGUGAACCUGCGGAAGGAUCAUUAACAAAUGUUGAAUAUGUUAUUCAUCUUCCAAUCUGAGUACUAGUACUUGUUGCUUCCGUGGGCAGCAUGCGAUUAUUCCCAUGCGCCUUACCUUUGUGGGGGACCCACGGGAGGUUUCAUAUACUCUGUUUUGUUCGUGUCAUCAGUCUGAUAGCAGUUUAUUGAAUAAACGUUAAAACUUUCAACAACGGAUCUCUUGGUUCUC
RNAcentral lists this unclassified non-coding RNA (252 nucleotides) under Ascomycota sp. RNAcentral's name for it is "partial contains small subunit ribosomal RNA, internal transcribed spacer 1, and 5.8S ribosomal RNA". The stretch from base 1 to 47 matches the Rfam family "Eukaryotic small subunit ribosomal RNA", at positions 1785 to 1831 of the family's 1831-position model. Lineage: Eukaryota; Fungi; Ascomycota. The record is from RNAcentral.